AACAGCAGAGGCGGGGCUACAUUUUUGAAUCCCGCUCCCCCUCCCGGAAGUGCAUUUCUUAAAGUGUUGUGUAAGGACACCGAUGAAGUUGUUUUGAUGCAAGCGAUGCUGGUAAUUUCAUCAAUGGUUAUGCAAGCACCUUUGCAACCCGCCCUGUGUCCUCAACUUGUCCAUUAACCCACAGAUCCCAGCUCUAGUUGUGAAGACGCUGCUUGCCAGUCGAGCUCUGAGUUUUUUCAGCCCACUGAACCCACCUUUGCACAUUCAGCUUGUCAAUAAACAGUUCUAAGUGUGAAUUAACCCGCCUUGUGUCCGCUCUUGGAUCCACUCAACUGCCCUAACACUAAUAACCAGAAAAAAUCUCUUGAAAUGGCAAGAACACUAAACUGCUCCACCAUUCGACGGCACUGG
This is a long non-coding RNA of Micropterus salmoides (largemouth bass), 411 nucleotides long. RefSeq lists it as uncharacterized. NCBI's taxonomy places the organism in Eukaryota, Metazoa, Chordata, Actinopteri, Centrarchiformes, Centrarchidae. The transcript is spliced from 3 exons. The record is from RefSeq and is a predicted model, not a curated record.